Molecule: RNA transcript, 2544 nt
Organism: Daucus carota subsp. sativus
Lineage: Eukaryota; Viridiplantae; Streptophyta; Magnoliopsida; Apiales; Apiaceae
Gene name: UBP1-associated protein 2B
Exons: 3
Source: RefSeq, a predicted model, not a curated record
GUUAACAUAGGUAGUCACUGCUGUUGUCCAGAAUCAUUCUCUCAGCCUGCUGUUCACAUUCUCUAUGACCAAGGAGAAAUCCAAGCUCCAAAAGGAAGCUCAUAAACCAGAGCUCAAAACCCUAAAAAGGAUUAAGAAACGUAAACCCCUCGAAGACCUCACCCCUGAUUCUGAUUCAAUGAAAUCCACAAGAAACAAAAAGAAGAAACACAAAUCAGAUGAACCCAUUUCUUCAAACCCUGAAAAACUCGAAACCCUGAAAAAGAAACAUAAAUCUGAUAAACCCCAGAAAUCACAUUCUGAGUCUGAUUCAGUACAUACCCUAGAAAAGGAGGAGGAGAAGAAGAAGACGAAGAAGAUAACCCAUGAUUCCGAUUCAAUCCAAAUAGUAGAAAAGAAGAAGAAGAAAAAUAAAUCAGAUAAGCCCCAGAAACCUCGUUCUGCAAAACCUGAAAUUCUCGGUUUCGAAAUCGAUGCCGAUUCAGUUCCAAGCCCAAGAAAGAAGAAACGCAAAUCAGAUACUCAUUCCAUUGAAAGCCGAAAAAAGGAGAAGAAACAAAAAUUGGAUAGAUUGCAAUCUACAAAGCCUAAAAACCUUGAUUCCGAGAUCGAAGAUGUCUCAAUCCAAACCCCAAAAAAGAAGAAAAAACAAAAGUGGUUAGAAUCGCAGAAACCCAUAGCUGUAGUCCCUGAAAUACUUGAUUCUGAAAUUGAUAGUGAUUCAAUUCAAAGUCUCCUGGAGCCCCACACAAAAGACCAGCUCAUUGAGUUCCUCCUUGACUCUGCUGUUAAAACUCCCUCGAUUUUGUUCAAAAUUAUGGAAACUGCCAAUGAAGAUAUCUCUCACCGCAGAAUAUUUGUUCACAAUAUCGAUUGGGACACCACGAGAGGAUCCAUGGUCUCGGUUUUUGAAAAAUAUGGUGCAUUAGAGGCGUGUGAUGUCGCGUAUGAUCGUGUGACUGGUAAAACAAAAGGUUUUGGUUUUGUUGUAUUCAAGUCGAGAGAAAGUGCGAAAAAUGCAUUGAAAGAGCCAAAGAAGAGGAUUGACAAUAGGAUUGCAUCGUGCCAGUUGGCAUCAAUUGGCCCUCCAGUUGUGGGCGGUGUGGAUAAUUCAAGUAGAAAGAUAUAUGUUAGUAAUGUUGACAAGGAUGUGGAUUCGUUGAAAUUGCGCGAGUUUUUUGAGAAGUUUGGUGAAAUCGAGGUUGGGCCAUUUGGAUUUGAUAUGCAAACUGGGAAAUCUAAGGGUUAUGCAUUGUUUGUUUAUAAGAAUUUGGAAGGUGUGAGGAAGGUUUUGGAAGAACCUAUUAAGAUUUUUGAUGGAAAGCAGUUGAGUUGUCGAAUGGCAAAUGAUUGGAAUGGUAGGAAAAAGAAUAGUAAGAGUGAUAGUUCGGUUACGACAGUAAUGAUGCCUGUGCCGCAUGAUCUGUCUGCUGUGUUACCUGAGCAGAACAUGGCAAUGGUUGGGCAGCCAGCAGGCUUUAAUCCUAUGCUGGGGCAAUUAGGUUUCAAUACAAUUGCUGAAGGAUUGUAUGCAAAUCCUAGUGCAGCUUUGUUGAAUCAGCUAUUGAGUCAACCUGGGAUUGGGGUGAAUCAAUUUGGACAAAUGGGUGUUGGUUUAGGGGGUUAUGGUGAGGCAAUGACAGGUCAGGUGAUGGAGGGUUUAGGGUGUUUUGGUGAGACAAUUACUGGUCAGGAAAUGGGGGAUUUAGGUUGGAAUCAGUCGGUAUUGGGGCCAUUUAGUGGUCGUACUUCUUCCCCAAUGUUGCAGGGUUGGCAACAUGCUUACUCGGAUACAUAACUGGAUCUUUCAACGGUUGCCUAUCAAAAAAUUGUAGGUCGUUCAGGAAUUGGAAAGUCUCCCAUAUUCUGUCAAUCUGGCUUCUCGCUAUUUGUUGAUGUUAGAUAUAUUAAAGGAAAGAAAAUCACUGGUACUUACAGGCCACUCCUUUGGAGGUGCAAUUGCAUCUCUUAUAGCUCUUUGGCUCCUCUCUUAUCUCCACUCCAUCUCUGCCUUCCUUUCUGUGCUUUACAUCACAUUUGGAUCACCAAGGCUCGGAAACAAAUCUCUCUCUCAGGCCAUCCUUCUAGAGCGAUGGGCUGGGAACUUUAUUCAUGUGAUCGUAAAGCAUGACAUUGUUCCUAGACUCCUGUUUGCUCCACUGGAUCAAGGGACUAAUCACCUUCAUUGCCUCCUACAGUUCUGGCAUUCUUCCAUGAAGCUGGAGGAUUCGUCCUGCAGCGAACAAUCUUUGUUUGGAACUUAUAAUUCACAACUAUUAAAGUUUGUAUUGGUUCAUAUUAACACACAGCACUAGAAACUUUGGAAAAAGGGGUUGAAGAUCUGGGGUCUGCAUUUUUGCCAUUUGGGAACUAUAUUUUUUGUAGCGAUGAUGGAGCCAUUUCAUGGGGCUAUUUCUCCCAAUUAUGUUAUUUUGGGCAUUACAUAUGAGUUUUGUGAUAUAUAGGACCUUUUCUCAUUGCAACUGUUGUAACCUAAAAAACAAUUAUUUUCGGUGUUGCAAUCUCAGUUGCAACUUUUUGUAA